This 386-nucleotide ribosomal RNA is filed under the name uncultured bacterium. RNAcentral describes it as "bacterial SSU rRNA". It matches the Rfam family "Bacterial small subunit ribosomal RNA", at positions 29 to 416 of the family's 1533-position model. The record is from RNAcentral.
AUUGAACGCUGGCGGCGUGCUUAACACAUGCAAGUCGAGCGGUAACGCGGGGGCAACCCUGCGACGAGCGGCGAACGGGUGCGUAAUACAUGGGAAUCUGCCCUGUAGUGGGGAAUAACCCGGCGAAAGCCGGGCUAAUGCCGCAUACGAUCUACGGAUGAAAGCGGGGGACCUUCGGGCCUCGCGCUAUUGGAUGAGCCCAUGUCGGAUUAGCUAGUUGGUGAGGAACGGCUCACCAAGGCGACGAUCCGUAGCUGGUCUGAGAGGACGGCCAGCCACACUGGGACUGAGACACGGCCCCAGACUCCUACGGGAGGCAGCAGUGGGGAAUAUUGGACAAUGGGGGAAACCCGUGAUCCAGCGACGCCGCGUGUGUGAAGAAGGCC